CUGCCCUGCGUCACUCCCAGUCAUCCUGAGGGAAAGGAGCCUGCAAGGCUGCACGAGAGUCAAGCAGUCAAUACAGACUGUGAGGGAUGCGCCAUCUGUUGGUGACACCCAGAGAAAGUGAUAAACACAGACCCCCGGGGAGCCCCGGGCCUCUGCUGUGGAGGUGGGGACUGAACCAGUGGACAUGGCUACAUGUUGCUGUGAAUCAGGCCUAAUGCCACACAGUAUCCGGCCUCCCAAAACCUUUCUACAUGCGACCAAACUCCUCAGUA
Molecule: non-coding RNA, 272 nt
Organism: Plectropomus leopardus (leopard coralgrouper)
Lineage: Eukaryota; Metazoa; Chordata; Actinopteri; Perciformes; Serranidae
Source: RefSeq, a predicted model, not a curated record